GUAAAACACCCUCGAUUCACCCGUAGAAGCAGACGGCUCGAGAUUUGACUCAAGCAACUUGAGGAUACCAGCACAAACCUCCGUUAACUCAUUCUCAACUUUACCUCUGUACUCCUUAACGAGCGAAACGUGUUCUUCGUUCUUACGCGAUUCCUCUUUCUGCUCAAUGGAGGAUACGAUACGCCACGCGGCACGAAGAGAGCCGAUCACGUUUUUGUAAGCGACGGAAAGGAGGUUUCGUUCCUCGACGGUGAGUUCGGCGGCCGGAGUGGAACUGAGGACUAGUUUGUCCAUGUACUGGACCAUUUCUUCAUAGCGUUCGGCUUGUUCGGCGAGCUUGGCUAAGUAGAGGUAUUGUUCGUGGCUGAGAUUUUCUGUGAGCAGAGCCGACAUUGUUGUUGUAGAGAGAGAAAGUUUAAGCGAAAGAGGAUGGAUUUCUCGACAGUGUGUGUGCGUGUGAGAGAGAGACUUUUAUGUGCUUUUUCUGCCCUUUUUCUUUGGCUUGUUUUGAUCUUUUAGGAAGAACAUGCCUCGAGUCAAGGGAGUGGAACUGAGUACUAGUUUGUCCAUGUACUGGACCAUUUCUUCAUAGCGUUCGGCUUGUUCGGCGAGUUUGGCUAAGUAGAGGUAUUGUUCGCGGUUGAGAUUGUCUGUGAGCAGAGCCGCCAUUGUUGUUGUUGUAGAGAGAGAAAGUUUAGGCGAAAUAGAAUGGAUUCUCGACAGAGUGCGUGUGCGUGUGAGAGACCGACUUUUUGUGUUGUUUCUGCCCUUUUUCUUUGGCUUGUUUUGAUUUUUUUGGAGAAUAUGCCUGCAG
This 814-nucleotide long non-coding RNA is filed under the name Nicotiana benthamiana. RNAcentral describes it as "long non-coding RNA (NBEN_LNC042094)". The record is from RNAcentral. Lineage: Eukaryota; Viridiplantae; Streptophyta; Magnoliopsida; Solanales; Solanaceae.